Molecule: unclassified non-coding RNA, 395 nt
Filed under: soil metagenome
Description: partial contains 5.8S ribosomal RNA, internal transcribed spacer 2, and large subunit ribosomal RNA
Rfam family: 5.8S ribosomal RNA (bases 1-122)
Source: RNAcentral
GAUAAAGAACGUAGCGAAAUGCGAUACUUGGUGUGAAUUGCAGAAUCCCGUGAACCAUCGAGUCUUUGAACGCAAGUUGCGCCCGAAGCCAUCAGGUUGAGGGCACGUCUGCCUGGGCGUCACAUAUCGUUGCCCAAUGCCUAUUGCAGUGCAAUAGGAAUUUCUAGGGCGAAUGAUGGCUUCCCGUGAGCGUUGUUGCCUCGCGGUUGGUUGAAAAUCGAGUCCUUGGUAGGGUGUGCCAUGGUAGAUGGUGGUCGAGUUAGAACGAUACCGAUCAUGUGCAUGCUCCCCAAAAUAUGGCCUCUAUGACCCACACGCGUCUUUUGACGCUCAUGACGAGACCUCAGGUCAGGCGGGGCUACCCGCUGAAUUUAAGCAUAUCAAUAAGCGGAGGA